Non-coding RNA from Oryza sativa Japonica Group (Japanese rice), 3300 nucleotides. The record is from RefSeq and is a predicted model, not a curated record. NCBI's taxonomy places the organism in Eukaryota, Viridiplantae, Streptophyta, Magnoliopsida, Poales, Poaceae.
ACAUGCUAAUGGACCACUCCGUUUUCCGUGCUUACUAUUUGGGUUGGGAACCCAAACUUGCAAACAGAGAGAAGAGGGGCUUCAGCGCUCCACUAUGAGACAAAGAAGAGUGAUUCUCAGCGUGUCAUUUCCAAUAAUACAAAGAAACCAAUGUCGAGGAGCAAAAAUUGUUUUCACAUGCCAAAAAUAAAAAUUCACAUGCCCAACCAAGACUGACAAAUUCCAGGCCAUGAUCUUACCAUUACCAACCCUCCUUCAUUCUUGAUGGGUCGAGCGGACCAUGUAGGAGGAAGGAAGCAACAGCAUCGUUGGGAGGAGACCACAGCCGUGCGAAGAAGUGGGAGGAGGCUAGGAAGUAGAGUCGGCAUCCCCAUAUCAGCCUAUACCAUCUCCAAAGGUCACCACUGCCCAUACGCUGCAUCUGCAGUGCUGAGCUUGUCGCCUCUUCGUCAUGCUCGUUGCUGGCCCACCCACGAAGGAGAUCCGCAGCGGCCGAAUCUGGCCGGAGGUGGGAAAAGAAAGUUUGGAUGCAGCGACAUAAGUGGAGGCGUCCGACAUCUCCAGCCGGCGAGACUGGCUGCGCUCCCGUGCGUUGGGGGAAGGGGAUCGGGAGGAGAGAGAUUGUCGGCGUUGGGAGGAGAGAGAUUCCAUGCAAAAAUCCUAUUUUGCUUUCCCUUUUGUUCAAUUCACACUGACGAAGCAGAAAGUACCCCGCACGGGAUUCCUAUACCUUGUGGUGCCUAGGAUUGUGGACUGUUAGAUAUGGUUGAAUGGAUGGUUCUGACUCUAGUACCGGGAGGUACCAAAAACUAUGUUGGACGGUAAGAAAUUUCUCUCUAUAUUAAUGUACCGCUUGAAGGAACAUGUAACUGUUCCAAGGUAAACCAACACUUUAUAUAUAUAGGUUUAUUACUAGAAUUGCAUUCGAAUCGACAUAUGGUUCUCAUCAUGCCUCGUACCAUCAGUGCAACAAAAAACAAUUGGGGUGGAUAAUGGUUAUGGAAUUUUUGAGAUCAGCUUAUGAGUCUUAGCUUGUUAGCACAGUAAGAUUCUCACCGUGUAGAAGAAUUUGGAAGAGUUGGACAUCCUUGCGGUCCAAGUCCUUUAUAUGGCUUGCGAUUAAUAACCACUGCUGGAGGGCCGAUCGCAUAGCUAAGCGAGGACUGGAGCAUCUCACUGCUUCUCUGUUUAUGAUCAGGCUGAAGAAUUUAUUAAUCACAUCCCAGUCUGAUAUGCGUUUUCUCGAUAAGUGUGAUCUCUAAUUCUCCUAAGGUUGAGCUGAUUCCCGUUUCUCCAAGUCAAGAUUUCACUCACUUCUACCGUUGGUGCUAAGGUAGUAAGAGGUUUUGACAAGACUUCCAAAAAAUGGCUCAAUUCAAUUAUCAUUUUGGUGGCUUGGAAAAUCUUAAAACAAAGAAACGAUUGUAUGUUUAACAACACUAAUUGUAAGAUUGGUGAGUUCAUUAGUAGAUCGCUAACCCCGAUUAGGUGAGGCUGUUUUAGUUGUUUUUUCAUUUAAACGUAAGUCACGUACGUUUGUAGGGUGAGGGGGGCCUUGUAAAAAUAAUAGCGGUUGAUCAGUGAAGCAUUUUUCCAUGCUAGUUUAUCGUAAGAGUAAUAUCAUAGUUUCUGAGUAGAUACCUGUCUGAGUAAAUUUUCUAGAGUUUUUUUUAUCCUAAACUUUCGAUUUCUGUACCAUUAAAUAAUUAUGCUAUUACUAGAGCAGGGGCGGAGGGGAUUUUUUUUUUAUUUUUUUUCAGCAUGAAUGAACCAGAGAUGAGACGAACAGAAAGACUCUCUGCGCAAGCCAAGCCAAUCACAUGGCUUUUGUGGUUUACUUUGUAGGUGCUAAUACAAGUUACCGUGUACAAUAUAGUUAUAAUGUAAUUACACUCUAAUAUACUAUUAUGAUAUUUAAAUAUUUUUCAUAACAAAACUAUCAAAUGUUAUAUAGCUACUCCCAUAGAAAAAAGCUCCUCAUGCUAUAAGUAGCCAUGAGGAAUGCCUCAUGCUACCCUCUAUAUUUUGCCUCAUGCUCAUGUUAUACAUACAUUGCAUGCUAUGUAUGCCAUGUGCAACUAUUGGUAGUAGCAGGUAGUAGGAGUUGGAGGCAUGGGAGAACCGGGCAGCACGAUGUUCACCAUAGCAUCUUCGAACUUCCCCCCUGCAGCUAGCCAGAAAAUUCCGUGCUGAAUGCCCACCUGCAGCCGUGGAUGUUGCGGCUACACGUUGUCUCCGUGUGCGUCUCUUACACCCGGUGAGCGGCAGUGCAGCUAAGGUAUACGCGGAUGAUGAAGAUGGCGCACGAGGGCAAGCAAACAAGGUCACGACGUAAACCUCUGCGAGUAUAAAAAGUCAACGACGUCAAAUAUUUAGGGACGGAGAGAGUAUAAAUUGCGACCAAGCAUGCCUGCCUGCCUACAGAUUCGAAGAACAUGCAUGGCCAGAGGUGAUUAUAUAAAUUACCACACUACAGAAGAUUUAAUGCCAGCGAAUUUGGAGAAUCUUUUCUAUACUGGCACCUGGUGUCUCACAACUAUCUUUAGAUUAGGACUAGGAGGCAUCAGAGAGAACAAUAGUGUAUUCCUGAUGAAGCUAUCUUCAGAUUCACAUUGUUCAACCAAAAGAAACCUCUUGAGUACCAUGUCACUUACCCUAGACGUUGCAGUUGCAAAGUUAGGUUCAGCCCUGACAUAAUAUCCUCCCGUGAAAUCAUCGACUUAGCUGCCUCACUGGAUACGGCCCUACCAAAACAACGGCGACACAAGGCUGUGUAUAUUCGUUGUCACAAGCAGCAUUCGUCUAGGUGGUGCAGGAGUGGUGCCAUAUAUCUUCAAGUAACUUCCUGCCCUUCUCUAUGUGUGCUCAAGGCUUGGAAGUUGGAACAAUGUGACUGUCACAUUGUGACAGGUGCUCAUCGACUGCUACCAUAUACUGAAAUUUUGAAGAGCAUUUGAAUGUGAAUAAUGGGGUUGUUCAAAUAUUUGAAUGCUUCUUGGGUUUAUGAAUUUUCGUGUCAUUACUGGAUGCUUGGGCCAAAAUUUCACAUAUAAGUGACAGAGAAAAUUAUUAUCUGUUAAGACCUAGUUCGGUUAAUUCCUUCCCUUAUACGUAAUGAAGGGGAUUACUAAUUCCACAAUUAUAUCAAGGUAGGCAAUUAUAAUCCCCUGAUUCCUUCCAAUCAUUUUCUUGUAGAGAUGAGCUGAACAAACCCACAAGGAAACAUAGUCCCCUUUCAUACAGCAUGCCCUCACGCUGAACGAUGAAUAGUGUUUGCUUGUAUAUAUUAGGUUGAGGUCA